This is a non-coding RNA of Taeniopygia guttata (zebra finch), 849 nucleotides long. Lineage: Eukaryota; Metazoa; Chordata; Aves; Passeriformes; Estrildidae. The record is from RefSeq and is a predicted model, not a curated record.
CAGCGCAGAUAAAAAGGGGGAGGAGUGAAGGAGAUAAAGAUCAAAUGUUGGUUUCCUCUGCCAAAUAAAUACACAAAUUUCUGCCCAAACAGCCCUGUAAACUGGAUUUUGGAGGUUGGGUGGGAGUGGGCAGCAGCAGCUCCCUCAGCCUGAUGCCCAGUGUGAUGUGUAAGCAGUUAAUGAGCAGCAGGGACAGCCAGAAGCCUGAGCUAUUGUAUGAAAAAUAGCCCUGCACCGUGGUUAUUUUAGGGAGCAGGCAUGUGCUCCAGGAUUUGCUGGAUAAAUGUCACUCUCUAAAAUUUAACACGGCCCAGCAGUGGGUUUGGGCUGUGGAAAAAGGCAUUUCAGUGCUGCAGCAAAUAAAAAAAAAAGAAAGAUUGAAGAGCUUGCCUGCCUUCUGACACACUCCCACGUGGUGUUACCUGCGUGUCCAUCUUGAACCUUCCUUACUUCAGCCCUUUCCCCUUGAAAUUCUGCACCAAAGCACCUGAAUUCCAGCCUGUGUCUGCUCAUGAAUCCCAUUUUUCACUGAAAUGGAACAUUCUGUGUGCAUUCCUAAAGAUGCCUUCCUGUAGCUGCCGAUUCAGUGGAAUAUUAUGGAAAGCACAAGGGACACUUUGAAGCUAGCAAAAGACAGCCACGAGAAUGCCAAGAUUCUCAUCCAGAACCCUGAACAGACAAUUUUAAGCUCCAACCAGCACUCCUGGACGAGUGUUUAAAGGUGAGGAUUGAUACCUAACUUUAAAAUUUGCUUAUUUCCUAAGGAAACCCCAGGUUAAUUACGUAUCGUGCUGUGUUUAGGAAGCACCUACAGAGCUCGAAUAAUUGAACCACCAAAAAGUUCAGCGU